Molecule: transfer RNA, 71 nt
Filed under: Loxodonta africana (African savanna elephant)
Lineage: Eukaryota; Metazoa; Chordata; Mammalia; Proboscidea; Elephantidae
Rfam family: tRNA
About the family: Transfer RNA (tRNA) molecules are approximately 80 nucleotides in length. Their secondary structure includes four short double-helical elements and three loops (D, anti-codon, and T loops).
Source: Rfam by way of RNAcentral
GCAGUGGUGGGUCAGUGGUAGACUUCUCACCUUCUAUGCAGGAAAACCAGGUUCAAUUUCUGGCCAAUCCA